GAUGAAGAACGUAGCGAAAUGCGAUACUUGUUGUGAAUUGCAGAAUCCCGUGAACCAUCGAGUCUUUGAACGCAAGUUGCGCCCGAAGCCAUUAGGCCGAGGGCACGCCUGCCUGGGCGUCACACGUCGUUGCCCCCCCAUCUACUCCUUCGGGAUUGCGGGGGGCGGAUGAUGGCCUCCCGUGCGCCACGCCGCGCGGUUGGCAUAAAUGCCAAGUCCUCGGCGACGCACGCCACGACAAUCGGUGGUUGCGAAACCUCGGUUGCCCGUCGUGUGCGGUCGUCGCGCAUCGAGGGCUCGAAAAAAUUGCCGGGUUCCGGCUCGGCUUUCAACGCGACCCCAGGUCAGGCGGGGUUACCCGCUGAAUUUAAGCAUAGCAAUAAGCGGAGGA
This 391-nucleotide unclassified non-coding RNA is filed under the name soil metagenome. RNAcentral describes it as "partial contains 5.8S ribosomal RNA, internal transcribed spacer 2, and large subunit ribosomal RNA". The stretch from base 1 to 122 matches the Rfam family "5.8S ribosomal RNA", at positions 35 to 154 of the family's 154-position model. The record is from RNAcentral.